UACGGAAGGCAGCAGUGGGGAAUAUUGGACAAUGGGCGAAAGCCUGAUCCAGCCAUGCCGCAUGAGUGAAGAAGGCCUUCGGGUUGUAAAGCUCUUUUAGUGAGAAAGAUAAUGACGGUACUCACAGAAGAAGUCCUGGCUAACUCCGUGCCAGCAGCCGCGGUAAUACGGAGAGGACUAGCGUUAUUCGGAAUUAUUGGGCGUAAAGAGCGCGUAGGCUGAUUAGUAAGUUAAAAGUGAAAUCCCAAAGCUUAACUUUGGAAUUGCUUUUUAAAACUGCUAGUCUAGAGAUUUGAAAGAGGAUAGAGGAAUUCCUAGUGUAGAGGUGAAAUUCGUAAAUAUUAGGAGGAACACCAGUGGCGAAGGCGUCUAUCUGGUUCAAAUCUGACGCUGAGGCGCGAAGGCGUGGGGAGCAAACAGGGAUUAGAUACC
RNAcentral lists this ribosomal RNA (432 nucleotides) under uncultured bacterium. RNAcentral describes it as "bacterial SSU rRNA". It matches the Rfam family "Bacterial small subunit ribosomal RNA", at positions 340 to 786 of the family's 1533-position model. The record is from RNAcentral.